AUUGAACGCUGGCGGCAUGCUUUACACAUGCAAGUCGAACGGUAACAGGCCGCAAGGUGCUGACGAGUGGCGAACGGGUGAGUAAUGCAUCGGAACGUGCCCAGUCGUGGGGGAUAACUACUCGAAAGAGUAGCUAAUACCGCAUACGAUCUAUGGGUGAAAGCGGGGGGCCGUAAGGCCUCGCGCGAUUGGAGCGGCCGAUGUCAGAUUAGGUAGUUGGUGGGGUAAAGGCUCACCAAGCCAACGAUCUGUAGCUGGUCUGAGAGGACGACCAGCCACACUGGGACUGAGACACGGCCCAGACUCCCACGGGAGGCAGCAGUGGGGAAUUUUGGACAAUGGGCGCAAGCCUGAUCCAGCAAUGCCGCGUGCAGGAAGAAGGCCUUCGGGUUGUAAACUGCUUUUGUACGGAACGAAACGGCUCUGGUUAAUACCCGGGGCUAAUGACGGUACCGUAAGAAUAAGCACCGGCUAACUACGUG
RNAcentral lists this ribosomal RNA (482 nucleotides) under uncultured bacterium. Its description in RNAcentral is "partial 16S ribosomal RNA". It matches the Rfam family "Bacterial small subunit ribosomal RNA", at positions 30 to 507 of the family's 1533-position model. The record is from RNAcentral.